Molecule: transfer RNA, 73 nt
Filed under: Cercophora newfieldiana
Lineage: Eukaryota; Fungi; Ascomycota; Sordariomycetes; Sordariales; Lasiosphaeriaceae
Rfam family: tRNA
About the family: Transfer RNA (tRNA) molecules are approximately 80 nucleotides in length. Their secondary structure includes four short double-helical elements and three loops (D, anti-codon, and T loops).
Source: Rfam by way of RNAcentral
GGUCGGAUGGUGUAGUUGGUCAUCACGUCAGUCUAACACACUGAAGGUCCCAGUUCAAGCCUGGGCUCGAUCA